Molecule: long non-coding RNA, 2366 nt
Organism: Eriocheir sinensis (Chinese mitten crab)
Lineage: Eukaryota; Metazoa; Arthropoda; Malacostraca; Decapoda; Varunidae
Exons: 4
Source: RefSeq, a predicted model, not a curated record
UUAGAAGGUUAUCCAAUGCCCGAUCAUUAGUAUAUUUUGCAGUAAUACCUCAACGUUCACGGUCUCUGUAGUAAUUCCUCAACAUCAGGGAUCUCUUCCAGUCAAACCUGAACAUUCACGGAUUCCUUCUAGCCAUCCCUGAACAUCCGUAGUCUUCCAAACUAACUAUUAAUCGAAACAAAGAUUGAAGGGAAGGUCAGACCAUCUCCCCACCUAAUCCCCUGUCGGUAAUAGCUUCCACAAAACAAACGCCUCGCUUCCAACCUCUUCCCCGUUAAUUAGAAGAUUACCCAAUGCCUGAAACUAUAUGAAGUCUCUCGCAUACUGUCCUAAAAACUGAUCUUUCCCUAAAUCGAAAUAAGGAUUGAAGGGAAGGUCAGACCGUCUCUCCACCUGAUCCCCUGUCGAUAAUAGCUUCCACAAAACAAACCUCCGAUACCCUACGCCCCUGUCCACCCAGCAGUGAAUGGGUACCAGGUAUUAAUCGAGGGUUGUGUCCCGUCUCCUGGGGUCUGUUCCCUUCUCCUAUAAUUCCUUCCCCUUCUGUCUCUCUCCGGCAUAUGACCACAGAUGUUGGGCCCACUAAACAAAACUUUCCCUUCUCCUAUAAUUCCUUCCCCUUCUGUCUCUCUCCGGCAUAUGACCACAGAUGUUGUGCCCACUAAACAAAACUUUCCCUUCUCCUUUAAUCCUUCCCCUUCUGUCUCUCUCCGGCAUAUGACCACAGAUGUUGCGCCGACUAAACAAAACUUUCCCUUCUCCUAUAAUUCCUUCCCCUUCUGUCUCUCUCCGGCAUAUGACCACAUAUGUUGCGCCGACUAAACAAAACUUUCCCUUCUCCUAUAAUUCCUUCCCCUUCUGUCCCUCUCCGGCAUAUGACCACAGAUGUUGCGCCCACUAAACAAAACUUUCCCUUCUCCUAUAAUUCCUUCCCCUUCUGUCUCUCUCCGGCAUAUGACCACAGAUGUUGCGCCGACUAAACAAAACUUUCCCUUCUCCUAUAAUUCCUUCCCCUUCUGUCUCUCUCCGGCAUAUGACCAAAGAUGUUGCGCCCACUAAACAAAACUCUCCAACUUAUCUAUCCACAGAAUCAUGGCCUCUGGUGCAGUGGUCAGUGUAAGGGAUAUAUUCUUAGUUACCACGACAUCCUAAGAGAUUUUGAGCAAUAUUACCUAUCAAAUAUAUUUUAUCUAUCCCCAGAAAUUCAGCCUCCGUGGUGCAGUGGUUAGUGUGCCUACGUAUGAAUCCACUGGCCAGGGUUCGAAUCCCAGCCCGGGCAGUCAACAUGCAGGUGUUGCUCCUCCCUUAGUGUGUGUGUGGGGGGUAAAUUUGCGCCUGGGGACCCCUGGGUAACGCACAUUGUGGUAACCUGGAUGUCCCUCCUGCCCUGUGUCCUGGGGUGCUGGAUUCCUGCUCCCCACAGGCUCAAGGCGCAAGGAGACCACUGUUGCCAGAUUAUCGUUCACGGAGCGGCGAGUAGCGGGCUUCUUCUUCUUCUCUUUUUUUUUUUUGACAUUUUAUUGCCCUUGAGCCGUGUCCUCUGAUGUAACAAAAAAAAAAAGGAUAUGAGGCAAAGUACGACAAUCUGGCAACACUGGACGACACGGAGAUGACCACCAAGGACACGCCCAGCUAUACCGUAUACCACAAACUUUACCUUUACUGAAACAGACUAAAUUUUCGGUAAAGUUUAAGUUUGUUGAUUAGGGUGCAGCUGGUCACGUCCUCAGUGCUUAGAGGGACCAUUAAGAAGUUGGAAAGUUUUGUUUAGUGGGCGCAACAUCUGUGGUCAUAUGCUGGAGAGAGACGGAAGGGGAAGGAAUUAUAGGAGAAGGGAAAGUUUUGUUUAGUCGGCGCAACAUCUGUGGUCAUAUGCCGGAGAGAGACGGAAGGGGAAGGAAUUAUAGGAGAAGGGAAAGUUUUGUUUAGUCGGCGCAACAUCUGUGGUCAUAUGCCGGAGAGAGACAGAAGGGGAAGGAAUUAUAGGAGAAGGGAAAGUUUUGUUUAGUCAGCGCAACAUCUGUGGUCAUAUGCUGGAAAGAGACGGAAGGGGAAGGAAUUAUAGGAGAAGGGAACAGACCCCAGGAGACGGGACACAACCCUGGAUUAAUACCUGGUACCCAUUCACUGCUGGGUGGACGGGGGCGUAGGGUAUCGGAAAAGCCACCAAAAUUUUUCCACUCCGCCCGGGAACUGUGGAUAGAUAAACUUGUGAAUGAACUUUAUGAUUACGUUAACAUUAUAGGAAGACUUCAUUGCGUUCCUGUGCCCUCGGAACACCACAGGAACCUUACACUCCAGUCUGUGACCCUCGUACUGUGUCUGUCAUGCUCGGAAAGUCUUUAAAUAAAUGUCUGGGGAUUGUU